CGCUGCCAUUCUUACUGCUUUAUUUUUUCAAACAACAUAGAAGUUAAAGCUUUGUUUAAAAGAACAGCUUUUUCUUGUAGUCGGUGAUGUCUCAUCCACUAUAACAUCAAAAUGUUUCAGUUAGUUGUCGAUCACUAUACAGAUGAGAGGGGAAUAAUUGGCUGCCUUCAACGAGGCACAGAAAUGAAAAUAUUCUCUACAAGCAAAAAAAAAGAUCCUUGGCUCCAUAUCACUGUUUGCUCAACGUUUAUGAUAACUGAGAGAUACCUCUUUGACUAUAAAGCAAUGAAAACUUAAAGUUAUUAUCUACUUCCAGAGGACUGGGGAGCUUAUUUACUGAAUCAUACAGCAAUGUAUCGUUCAGAUAAGUUAGCAUUUGGUCUGGAAAAUUGUGAAAUACGAUAUUUCAACACUUCUCCUCUCCUGCCAAGGGAGCUUCGGAAUCACAGAAGACAGUUUAUUUUGAACAUAUGGAAAAGAUGAGGAAUGUCCUCCCAGAGAUAACCAUCUCUAACCUGCAGUUGACAGGAUCUUCAGACCUUCUCCAGCUAUUAGACGUUACUUUUGUACAUUAGGACAGCGGGAGUCACGUGAGGAGCAACCAUACCUUUAACACCCAUUUCUCUGGCUCAUGAGGACACAGUGCAUCACCAACCAGUGAGCAAGACAGAUCUGAGGAGAUUUUCCAAGUACUUGAUGGCAGCCUUAAGUUAAAUUAAUGCAUCUGAAGGAAGCAAAAGUGUCUCAUUACAAAAAGUGCCAUGGAAAAGGUUGGAUAGUUAAACAGAUGAGCUCUGAAUACUUCUUUCCCUUACAAACUCCAAACACUGUAGGAGUAGAAGCAUUUAACAUGAAGAGAUGAGUUUGCAGUGCAGGGAUGGUCACACCCAGGCAAGGGAGAAGAAGGAAGCAAAUCACAGCAAAUCACAGAAUCUAAUGCAGCAGAUAACAUGAAUGUGUGUACUUCUUCCCACCAUUUGCUACCCUCCAGGUGUCACCACCACAGCUUGCACAAUCCAUAAGCCUGAAGGAGUCAACCUGUGCAUUGUAUAGACUGUCAAUAAUGCAAAGCAGUACUCUCAGAGGAUGACAAAGGUGGCACUGAAUAUUUGACUGCUCAGCAACAACACUUCUGGUCAUUUUGAAUCUACAUAGCAGGCUCGUUAGGAUCAUUCUUUCACAAAGGGAAGAAGAGGACUUAGAGGACGGGGUAAGAGAAAUUAGUUGCCGGUUGUCCUUCUGAACACAGACUGCAAAAUAUUAGCCUCUCUUCUCAACAAGAGACAAGAGGAAAUACCAAGGAAAAGCAGUUAAAGGUCACAGAAUGGCACAUUUUUCGUGUAGUUUAGUAGAAGUAUGUGAAAGCAGCUGUAGAGAAUGGAUAAAUUAUGUUUUAACUUCGGACUGAGCUCAUAAUGUUCAACAAAAAUAUCUACCUUCCCUAUUUAUAGCUGGUUCUGUCAUAAUACUGUGUGCUACUGUGAUUUAUUAGCUGACAAUGGCUUUGAUUAAUCAAUGUGAAAGUCAUCCUCUUAAUAAAGAAGUCAUAAUGAGACAUAAGAUGGUCCCUUGAGUUCCUUGUCCCUUUUUCCUCGGGACCCUUCAUCUGUCCUAUUAGAAAUGCCAAA
Molecule: long non-coding RNA, 1628 nt
Organism: Gallus gallus (chicken)
Lineage: Eukaryota; Metazoa; Chordata; Aves; Galliformes; Phasianidae
Source: Ensembl